This 528-nucleotide ribosomal RNA is filed under the name uncultured bacterium. RNAcentral's name for it is "bacterial SSU rRNA". It matches the Rfam family "Bacterial small subunit ribosomal RNA", at positions 777 to 1310 of the family's 1533-position model. The record is from RNAcentral.
AAUAGAUACCCCGGUAGUCCACGCCCUAAACGAUGUCAACUAGCUGUUGGGGCCUUCGGGCCUUGGUAGCGCAGCUAACGCGUGAAGUUGACCGCCUGGGGAGUACGGUCGCAAGAUUAAAACUCAAAGGAAUUGACGGGGACCCGCACAAGCGGUGGAUGAUGUGGAUUAAUUCGAUGCAACGCGAAAAACCUUACCUACCCUUGACAUGUCUGGAAUGCCGAAGAGAUUUGGCAGUGCUCGCAAGAGAACCGGAACACAGGUGCUGCAUGGCUGUCGUCAGCUCGUGUCGUGAGAUGUUGGGUUAAGUCCCGCAACGAGCGCAACCCUUGUCAUUAGUUGCUACGAAAGGGCACUCUAAUGAGACUGCCGGUGACAAACCGGAGGAAGGUGGGGAUGACGUCAAGUCCUCAUGGCCCUUAUGGGUAGGGCUUCACACGUCAUACAAUGGUCGGGACAGAGGGUCGCCAACCCGCGAGGGGGAGCCAAUCCCAGAAACCCGAUCGUAGUCCGGAUCGCAGUCUGCAA